This 1329-nucleotide long non-coding RNA is filed under the name Homo sapiens (human). RNAcentral describes it as "non-protein coding lnc-GRAPL-4:1". The record is from RNAcentral. Lineage: Eukaryota; Metazoa; Chordata; Mammalia; Primates; Hominidae.
GUCAGCUGUCACAGUGCAGAGCAUGAUGGUUGAACUCAAAUGCCGCCAAGCAGAUGACAGGGACAGUUUCCACCUAGUUCAGGAACAUAAGCUAAGGCACUUCAGGGAGCUGGGGAGUAUUUUUAUGUCCCCAAAAUGCAGGAUCUGCCUCCAGUUGAUUUAUCUUUAGUGAAUAAGGAUGAAAAUGCUAUCUAUUUCCUGGAAAAUCCUCUUGGCCUUCAACCAAAAAUGGUUAAAACAGAUCUUGAAGAAGAGCUAGUUGAGUGGGGCAAAAUGGGAGCCUAUGGUCACGAAGAAGGCAGCAUCCUUGGGAUACAGAGAUGAGAGUAUUGUAGGCCUACAGAAGGACUAUAGGAGCCUACGAGAAAGAAAUAGCCCUAGUGAAUGCGCUGACUGUUAAUCUACAUCUUCUACUCCUAUACCAAAUGGUAUAAAAUUCUUAUAGAAGCCAAAGCUUUCUCUUUUAAUCAUUAUACUGUUGAGUCACAGCUACGACUCCAUGGAGUUAACAUUGAGGAAAGGGGAUUAUAAAGCCAAGACGGGGGAGGAAACCUUAAGAAUAAAGGAUAUUGGAUAUCCCUGAAGCAAUUGAGAAGGGAGGAGGCUCAAUUACAGCAAUCCUGUUCAGUGGGCUGCAUUUUUAUACUAGGCAGCUCUUUAAUAUACCUGCUACCACGAAAGCUGGACAAGUGAAGGGAUGUUUUGCUGGCUUGAUCUAGCAUGUACAGUUGGAAAUGCUGAACUCACUUACGUGACAGAAGAGUUGACUUUGCCCACUGGUGUUCCCACAAUAAUUUGAAUGCAGGAGCAGGAGGUCUGGCAGGUACUUUUUCCAUGAAAAGCAUGCCCGUAUGAUUAAAGCUGUGCUGCUGGGGUGGUUUGGCUGUGAACUCAGCACCAGAUUUGAGAUGGAUAACCAACUGCAGUUAAUCCCUGGGGUUAGUGGAUUCCAAAUUUCAAAUCCUCCCAUUUUGUUGGUCUGUUUCUUACAGUUUAGAGAUCUUUAGGCAGGCAGCGAUUAAAGCAUUGUGGAGAAAAUCUAUUUUGCUGACUGGUUAUCUGGAAUACCUGAUCUAGCACUGCUAUGGCAAAAAUAAAGCAGAAUCUAAGAAGCCAAUGGUGACCUGGAGGUGACCAUUACUCCAUCCCAUAUGGAGGAUCAGGGCUGCCAGCUGACACUAACAUUUUUCUGUUCCAAAGAAAGAUGUUUUCCAAGAGGUAGAAAAAAGAGGAGUGGUUUAUGACAAGUGGAAUCCAAAUGUCAUUCAAGUGGCUCCAGUUCCUUUCUAUCAUUCUUUCCAUGAUGUUUAUAAAUUUAUCAAUCUGGGC